ACCGAUGUGGUCCAACGGCUAGGAUAGUGGUCUUUCACACCAUUGGCCCGGGUUCGACUCCCGGCAUCGGUG
Molecule: non-coding RNA, 72 nt
Organism: Ramicandelaber brevisporus
Lineage: Eukaryota; Fungi; Kickxellomycota; Ramicandelaberales; Ramicandelaberaceae
Source: the annotation of a GenBank genome assembly